This 492-nucleotide ribosomal RNA is filed under the name uncultured bacterium. RNAcentral's name for it is "partial 16S ribosomal RNA". It matches the Rfam family "Bacterial small subunit ribosomal RNA", at positions 29 to 507 of the family's 1533-position model. The record is from RNAcentral.
AGUGAACGCUGGCGGUAGGCCUAACACAUGCAAGUCGAACGGCAGCACAGUAAGAGCUUGCUCUUACGGGUGGCGAGUGGCGGACGGGUGAGGAAUACAUCGGAAUCUACUUUUUCGUGGGGGAUAACGUAGGGAAACCUACGCUAAUACCGCAUACGACCUACGGGUGAAAGCAGGGGAUCUUCGGACCUUGCGCGAUUGAAUGAGCCGAUGUCGGAUUAGCUAGUUGGCGGGGUAAAGGCCCACCAAGGCGACGAUCCGUAGCUGGUCUGAGAGGAUGAUCAGCCACACUGGAACUGAGACACGGUCCAGACUCCUACGGGAGGCAGCAGUGGGGAAUAUUGGACAAUGGGCGCAAGCCUGAUCCAGCCAUACCGCGUGGGUGAAGAAGGCCUUCGGGUUGUAAAGCCCUUUUGUUGGGAAAGAAAGGCAGCAGGUUAAUACCCCGCUGUUCUGACGGUACCCAAAGAAUAAGCACCGGCUAACUUCGUG